RNAcentral lists this ribosomal RNA (327 nucleotides) under uncultured Actinomycetales bacterium. RNAcentral's name for it is "bacterial SSU rRNA". It matches the Rfam family "Bacterial small subunit ribosomal RNA", at positions 27 to 359 of the family's 1533-position model. The record is from RNAcentral. Lineage: Bacteria; Bacillati; Actinomycetota; Actinomycetes; Actinomycetales.
GAACGAACGCUGGCGUCGUGCUUAAAGAGAAAAGUCGAGCGGUAAGGCCCUUCGGGGUACACGAGCGGCUAUUCCCCUGAGUAACACGUGGGUGACCUGCCCCUUACUCUGGGAUAAGCCUGGGAAACUGGGUCUAAUACCGGAUAUGACCUCUCAUUGCAUGGUGGGUGGUGGAAAGUUUUUUCGGUGGGGGAUGGGCCCGCGGCCUAUCAGCUUGUUGGUGGGGUGAUGGCCUACCAAGGCGACGACGGGUAGCCGGCCUGAGAGGGCGACCGGCCACACUGGGACUGAGACACGGCCCAGACUCCUACGGGAGGCAGCAGUGGG